Molecule: transfer RNA, 72 nt
Filed under: Boodleopsis pusilla
Lineage: Eukaryota; Viridiplantae; Chlorophyta; Ulvophyceae; Bryopsidales; Halimedaceae
Also listed under: 3 other names
Description: tRNA-Gln
Rfam family: tRNA
About the family: Transfer RNA (tRNA) molecules are approximately 80 nucleotides in length. Their secondary structure includes four short double-helical elements and three loops (D, anti-codon, and T loops).
Source: RNAcentral
UGGGAUAUCGCCAAGUGGUAAGGCGGUGGGUUUUGGUCCCGCUAUUCGGAGGUUCGAAUCCUUCUAUCCCAG